AAAGUACUCCCUCCGCUUCGAAUUUCUUGUCGCAGGUAUCGAUAUAUCUAGAUGUAUUUUAGUUCUAGAUACAUCCAUUUCUGAGACGAGUAAUUUAAAACGGAGGGAGUAGGAC
This is a non-coding RNA of Triticum aestivum (bread wheat), 115 nucleotides long. The record is from Rfam. NCBI's taxonomy places the organism in Eukaryota, Viridiplantae, Streptophyta, Magnoliopsida, Poales, Poaceae.